Molecule: long non-coding RNA, 304 nt
Organism: Pseudopipra pipra
Lineage: Eukaryota; Metazoa; Chordata; Aves; Passeriformes; Pipridae
Exons: 3
Source: RefSeq, a predicted model, not a curated record
UUAAAGUUAGGUCAGUGUUUGUUUGUGCAGGUUGUCUUUGGACCCCAGAGGGCUUGUCUAAGGAGAAAUUAGAAUUGCACAGCAGCUAAAGUCCCCCUGUAUAUAUGGCUGACUUUGGUAACUCAUUUCUUUGCAGUGUCAGAGGGACUGGAUGUAAAGCAGAGAUGAACAGAAGAGGCUGGAGGAGCACAGUCAGAAGAUGCAGAGCCCUCAGCCCAGCAGAUGACAGGCACCAGAGGGAAGGUGAGCCUGGUGAGCAAGGCAAUGCACCGACUUCUAACAUACAGUCCAACGUGACGGGGAC